GAUGAACGCUGGCGGCGUGCCUAAUACAUGCAAGUCGAGCGAACAGGUAAGGAGCUUGCUCCUUUGACGUUAGCGGCGGACGGGUGAGUAACACGUGGGUAACCUACCUAUAAGACUGGGAUAACUUCGGGAAACCGGAGCUAAUACCGGAUAAUAUUUCGAACCGCAUGGUUCGAUAGUGAAAGAUGGUUUUGCUAUCACUUAUAGAUGGACCCGCGCCGUAUUAGCUAGUUGGUAAGGUAACGGCUUACCAAGGCGACGAUACGUAGCCGACCUGAGAGGGUGAUCGGCCACACUGGAACUGAGACACGGUCCAGACUCCUACGGGAGGCAGCAGUAGGGAAUCUUCCGCAAUGGGCGAAAGCCUGACGGAGCAACGCCGCGUGAGUGAUGAAGGUCUUCGGAUCGUAAAACUCUGUUAUUAGGGAAGAACAUACGUGUAAGUAACUGUGCACGUCUUGACGGUACCUAAUCAGAAAGCCACGGCUAACUACGG
RNAcentral lists this ribosomal RNA (496 nucleotides) under uncultured bacterium. RNAcentral describes it as "partial 16S ribosomal RNA". It matches the Rfam family "Bacterial small subunit ribosomal RNA", at positions 28 to 506 of the family's 1533-position model. The record is from RNAcentral.